Molecule: unclassified non-coding RNA, 590 nt
Filed under: Hevea brasiliensis (rubber tree)
Lineage: Eukaryota; Viridiplantae; Streptophyta; Magnoliopsida; Malpighiales; Euphorbiaceae
Source: RNAcentral
GCGCAAUUCCCUGAUUGAAAAACAAAUAAGAGGAAAAAAGGAUUGUUACUGAAUUGCUUAAUAUCAGUCUUACAUGAUCACCUAUAAAUGAAACAGAAGAAAUAUUGCAAAAGGCCCUAUACCUCUUCAUAUCUAUUAAAAUUUGUGGUUACUAAUGCAGCUUGGCAAAAUAUAGAAACCAAGAUAACUAACACAUCAAAAAGAAAGAAGAGAUUUAAUGUAAAAAUUCUCUCAUCACCAAUGCCCAGUAUAAUUUGUGAAAUCUCUAAUAAGCAGAGCUACAGUGGAAUGAAAAAGUUCUAUUUAUGUCUACCAUCAACAAAGAUUUAAGUGAAUUCAUCACUCAAUAAGACAUUAACCAGUACAUUCACUGUAACAAUUUAGUUCUCAGAAUUAUUAUUUUAAAGCAAAAGUGAGAGAGAGAAAGUAUGAAGGAGGACAACUAAAAUUUUUGAAAAGCAGAAAAAAACCCAAAUUUUCUGCUCAGGUAAAAGAAAGUGACAAUAUGAUGAUCAUUGAACUGUCCGCAAAGGUCCAACCCCUUCUUCCUUUUCAAUAGAUUUUUCAUUCACACACACACACACACACAC